This 253-nucleotide ribosomal RNA is filed under the name uncultured bacterium. Its description in RNAcentral is "partial 16S ribosomal RNA". It matches the Rfam family "Bacterial small subunit ribosomal RNA", at positions 524 to 776 of the family's 1533-position model. The record is from RNAcentral.
UACGGAGGGGACUAGCGUUGUUCGGAAUUACUGGGCGUAAAGCGCGCGUAGGCGGAUUUGCAAGUCGGGGGUGAAAGCCCGAGGCUCAACCUCGGAACUGCCCUCGAUACUGCAAAUCUCGAGUCCGAGAGAGGUGAGUGGAAUUCCUAGUGUAGAGGUGAAAUUCGUAGAUAUUAGGAAGAACACCAGUGGCGAAGGCGGCUCACUGGUCCGGUACUGACGCUGAGGCGCGAAAGCGUGGGGAGCAAACAGG